AAGGGCACCACAAGAACGCGUGGAGCAUGUGGCUUAAUUUGACUCAACGCGGGAAAUCUUACCGGGUCCGGACAUACUGAGGAUUGACAGGCGCUUGUAGUAUUUUUAAUACUGCAGUAAAUAUGCUAGUCCUUUCAUGAUUGUGUGAUAGGUGGUGCAUGGCCGUUCUUAGUUCGUGGAGUGAUCUGUCUGCUUAAUUGCGUUUCACUAAGGACUCCCAAACGUCGCUUUGUUUUGCUUUUUUUUUCAAUAAAUGCUUUUUUAAGUUUUUUUUUUGAAUUCUUAGGCUUACGGUGACUAAGGAGUCUUGAAGGCAACGAACGUGACCGCAUCCUCUUGUUGCUACAUUUCCAUUUUCUUUUUUCUUUUUUUUAAGGGAAAAGAAAAUAAUUGUAUUUGCAAACUAGAGGGACCGCUGACAAUUUUCUAAACAGAGGAAGGUUGCGGCAAUAACAGGUCUGUGAUGCCCUUAGAUGUUCCGGGCUGCACACGUGCUACAAUGAUUAUUGCAGUGAGCAUCUAUUUUUUUUUCAAAAGUUUGUGGAGCUGUUGUUGUCAUUUUCUCCUCAAAAACUCUUUUUUUAAAAAAAAUCUUUUUUUUUUUUUUAAAAGUUUUUUGGGGUUUUAGAAAUUGAUUUAUCAACUGUUUCCCAACGAACCUACUUCGAAAGUAAGUAGGUAAUCAAUUCGAAGUAAUGAUUUCCACCCGCACAUACACAGUCCCUUGCUUAUUCUUUUUUUAUUUGCUUGCAAAGAAAAAAAGAAAAGGCUUGGUGGCAUGUGCUCCAUUAAUUCAUGGUGGGGACAGACCAUUGAUAAUUGUUGGUCUCGGUCUCAACUAGGAAUGCCUUGUACGGGUCUUUGGUUCAACAAACCACCCGGAAUAUGUCCCUGCCCUUUGUACACACCGCCCGUCA
This 917-nucleotide ribosomal RNA is filed under the name Allogromida sp. timberdockB&W. RNAcentral describes it as "partial small subunit ribosomal RNA". It matches the Rfam family "Eukaryotic small subunit ribosomal RNA", at positions 1160 to 1678 of the family's 1831-position model. The record is from RNAcentral. Lineage: Eukaryota; Foraminifera.